UACAGAGGUCUCAAGCGUUGUUCGGAUUCAUUGGGCGUAAAGGGUGCGUAGGCGGCGCGGUAAGUCGGGUGUGAAAUCUCGGAGCUUAACUCCGAAACUGCAUUCGAUACUGCUGUGCUUGAGGACUGGAGAGGAGACUGGAAUUUACGGUGUGGCGGUGAAAUGCGUAGAUAUCGUAAGGAAGACCUGUGGCGAAGGCGGGUCUCUGGACAGUUCCUGACGCUGAGGCACGAAGGUCAGGGGAGCAAACGGG
This 253-nucleotide ribosomal RNA is filed under the name uncultured bacterium. RNAcentral's name for it is "partial 16S ribosomal RNA". It matches the Rfam family "Bacterial small subunit ribosomal RNA", at positions 524 to 776 of the family's 1533-position model. The record is from RNAcentral.